ACUAAUAUGUUGCAGUGCCUCCUCGGACCUAUCGGUCGAGCUUUUCCCUUGGGUGGCCGUACCCACUGGGAACCAUGGAGUUGUUUCUCACCCCACGUGGUUUUGGAGUGUUUUCAGGUUGUACGUGUGCAGCGCGGUGGCGCGAGGCGAAGGCGUAGCUCAGUAGAUAGCGCCCUACCACAGAGACCGAGGUAGCAGUACCCUGAGGCAGUCUAGCUUAGGGGACUAGAAAGCUAGAAUCAAGAUGUAUCAAACUUGUAAAUUAAAUGAUGUAAUAAUUAGAUUGUAAUUUGGAAGUAAAAUGUAACUGAGUUGUAUUAAUUGAAUGCGAAUGAAUGCUUGUAAUAGCUAUUAGUUUUAUGUAUUUGAUACUUCCUUAUGCAAUCUGGAUUGAUAUCCGUUCCUACUUGGAACAUUCGUUGAUUGUUUGGAUUGCGACACCUAGAACGUACAGGGGAGACUCUGUCCGCGUACAGGAAAAACUCCGGUCCGUUCUGCGGUCUGUCGUCGGCGCCGCGACCCGGUCCAAAUUGGCGGUUGGUCGCGGGGCGUGACAGCUACGACCAUAUUGCAACGGAUUGUCCUUCAAAGAAGUCUUAUAAGCAAAAGGCUUUGCAAGCUAAGACUUGGGAUGAUUCUUCUUCAAGUGAAUCAUCUUCAAGUGACGAAGAAAAGAGUGAUCACAUUGCUUUAUUUACUAACACUUCUCUACCUUCGUCUAACGUUGUUUGUUUAUCCUCAAUUGUUUCUAAUUCCAAUGUUUCUCUCUCUUCGCAUCGGUCUUCGAGCGACAAUGGCGAAAGCGAGGAG
This 810-nucleotide long non-coding RNA is filed under the name Ananas comosus (pineapple). RNAcentral describes it as "long non-coding RNA (ACOM_LNC010096)". Lineage: Eukaryota; Viridiplantae; Streptophyta; Magnoliopsida; Poales; Bromeliaceae. The record is from RNAcentral.